Molecule: long non-coding RNA, 749 nt
Organism: Nicotiana tabacum (common tobacco)
Lineage: Eukaryota; Viridiplantae; Streptophyta; Magnoliopsida; Solanales; Solanaceae
Source: RefSeq, a predicted model, not a curated record
AUGUCCUAACAGACCCCUACCCCAAAGACCUCUCAAACACUCUCUUCCCGUCUCUCCGGCCAAAGGCACAAUCAAAAAUCGCCCACGACGGCGGGCCACAUCCAAACCACCCUAAAUUAUCACCUUUCUUAUUCCCAAUCUCCAGUCCAUCUCUCCUAAAAACCCUUCAAUCUCGUCAUUUAGUAAAUCUAGGAAUUUCAAAAAACUUUGCCUCUUUUUUGAUUUCUCUUGAUGAGAGCAAUCGAUGGACGUUAGUUUUGGUUCAUUUUAUAGCCACCAGAACCCGGUCAAAUCCCGUUGACUGGCGAGUUUUCUCUCCAAUUGCUCCAUUUUUGUUUCUUUGAUCUGUCCAAGUCCAAUAUGCUACGGGUUAGAUAUUGUGACUGCAAAAGUGUUGAUUCUGAGUAUUUCCAAAUUGUGUCCAAAUCAUUCUGACGAACACAUCCAGCGAGAGAUCUUCAUUUUUGGAAGGCUAACCAUUUUGUGGGUCAAAUCCAUGAGUUAGAAAAUAGGACAGACCUGAUAGGCACUGUUUGUACAUUUAAUGAACAACUGCUAUAAGAGUUUCAACUAAUUUGUUACAUGUUAUGGUUAAUGCAAUUUAGAAGUAGCUUGUUACUAUUGUAUUCAUAAAUAUGGCAGUUUUGUUUAGUGAAUUCAUUGAUAAGGCCUGUAAUAGCUAUAUCUCUUAAUAUUCAAACUAUAACCAAGACGCGUUAAUUUGAAUGCAAUUCCUUAUUCGUGUAUUU